GUAGUCCUCUCCUUUUCGGACUGGCGAUACAGUCUCAGAACCAGAUUACCAUCCCUGUCAGCCCUUGCGCCCACACGGUGACAAGUGGCGGGGCGUGAUGAUAUCUGUUUAGGAUUUGCGCUACAGCUCCUUGCGUCCACCUAGUUGCUUCACGCUAUUUACCUCCUGUCCCAGGAAAAGGAGUGGGGGGAACGAAGUGAUGCAUCAUGGGAAAGGAAGUAGAGUGGCUUAAUUGACUUCAGCUAAAGUAUGCUAAAGUUCCCCAGGAAAGAGAAUUUUUCUUUCGGGGGGAAAAAUAAUAUGCGUAGUAUUUAAUGAAUGACAAAGGAAAUAUAAAACGUAAAAAUAAUAACCACCAAUAUUUCUCUAGUAAAGCACUUAACUUUUACCUACUGUAAUUCUUUUUAGAGUUGUUGGCCCCAGUUUAUGAAUGAUGAAAUUUAAAAUUAUUUAUUUGCCCAAGGCAACGCAGAGAAAGUGAAAUUGAAUAUCUCUUGUCCUCAGGGAUUUCUUCAGUCAGGGACAUAAGCACUAACACAAAUUAGACUACAAGUUUUACCUUUCUGGUACUCAGCUAUAGUGUUCUUCAGUCAGGCCUUUCUUUCCAGUCCCCAUUGUGAAUCUAUCAGGGAGGUCAUGCAUGUCAGUCCCCUCCCUGCCUCUAAGCCGCAGACAAGGGAGGAGAUGCGAUUGAGUUGUCAAAGACCUGAAAGGACCAGCCAGGGGGCUCAAGGCGUAACAGCCCAAGAGCAAUGCCAAGAAGGCAUUUCUAGUAUUUAUUGAAUAAAUGAAUUUACAAUGAACUCAAAAAUCCUUAUCCGGCCUUGAGUCUAGCCCAAGGUCGUGAGGCUUCGCAAGGAUACCAAACUGUGUGAAGCCAUGAGAACUGCUUUGGUUCUCAUCACUCAGUCCUUGACUACACAUCAACAGAGUGUGUGGGAAAAACAAUCAAGUCAUGUGUGCUUAUACAUUUGAUUUCUACCUUACUUGAAUUAUGUAUUAACCCCAUCAAUCUCACAAUGCAAAGUAACCACAAGGGGUCCAAUUCCAUUUUUACAGAACCACAAUCUUUUGAAAAAUCUAUUUUCAGCAUGCUCCUCAGUUGAUUCUGAUGUAGCACAGUCUUCGGACUGGCUUUUAGGAUGCACUCUCAGUAGGAGGAUGGCAGAAAAAAAGAACUGUUCUGUAACAGUGAGUAGUAGUCAGAUCUGGCCUGGAACUUAAUGAAAGGUGGGAGACAGUGGUAGGCAAUUAGAACAGUAAAAGUGCAGAACUCAAGAGUAGUCAAGAUCAAUGAAAUCUGAGAACAGUCUGUUAGGAUGCAAAAGCUGAAAAAGCUUCAAGGUCCAUAAAGGAAGUUAUCAUAAAAGAUUAGUGGAGAUAGAAUAAGUAGAUGGUGAAGCGGUACACAUAGGUAACUCUUUGAAAACAAGCAGUGAAGAAACAGCAGUGGCUUGAAGGGAUGAAGUAUGGAAGAAAUUGAGGUUUUCUAGUACAAUGGACACCUGUUGGAUUGUCUGCUCAGCCCUCCUUUCCUGGGAAUGACCUUCCCCCCCCAUUUACAAAGUUACAGCAAAAAUUGUCAUAGUCCUGUAACCAUAGCUGAUUGGGUCAAAGGUGGACAACUAAUCCAAGCUGGGUCAGUCUGAAUCUCAUCCCUAGAAAUUUGGAAUUGGACCAGAGAGAUCAGUGUAAAACUUGGAAGCUGUCAGCAAUUUCCCCACCAGAGGGACAGAAGUAAAAGAUGCUUGUCUGUAGAAAGAGAAGAAAAAUGCAGACUGGCAGAGAUGAGAGAUAGGGAGUCUUCACUGUGUUUAAGUCCCAGGUUCUAGAUAAUUUCUGAGGCAUUCUUGUCCUUUCUUUCUGUAAAGCAAUCCUACAUCCUUACCAUAAGGUUGGAGGCACCGGAGGGAGGGGUGAGCACGUUGGACACUGAUGAUGUGCCAAAGUCCCUGGCUGCUUCCCCCUCCCAAUCUGAAAAAUGUGCCUUAGGCUAGCCAAUCCAUGCACCGCUGUAAAUCUAUGCUCUGCCUCCCCCUACCUUCUUUAAAAAUUCCCCGCCUGUCUGGUUGUGUGCGACUUCCCCAGCCUGUAUUAGUGCAGACUGGUGAACCUCGCCUGGGAUUGCACUCAAAUAAACUGCCUGGCCCUUUGUUGCCUCUUGUCGCCUGCUUAUUUCGGUUAGAACUUAUCUUACAUUUGGUACUGAAAAACCCGGGAAGGAGUGUGAGCACGGGGCCCCAACCAGCCAUUGGCCCCUCCUUCCCUGACCCGGGACCAAAGCCUGCUCUCCGCUGCGUAGACUAUUUUCUGGUGAGUCCCUCAGUUUCCCCUGGUCUGUUUCCCUUCCUAACUCCAUUUCACCUGGUCCGUCCAAAAUCAUAGCUACGUCCAGGUUGGGGCAUCCAGCCCCUGAGCAUCCAGCCCAUCUGCUGAGGGCAUCUGGGAUACCCGCCCCUGGCCCUGCAGUGUGGGAGACGUCCCUCACCCAGGCUCCCAGGCUGUCUCCCCUGACUUGGCGCACUUGGGAUGCUGGGCACUCCUCUCAGCGGGAUUUGUUGGGAAGUGGUGCAGACAUGGGGAACCAGCCCUCGAAAGCAGAGGCUCAGACCCCGCUGCGGUGUCUCAUUUCUAAUUUGGCUACUCUAUAUUUGUCCUGGGAAGUUUGCAAACGGAAGCUAGUCUUUCUUUGCUCUGAGGCCGGGCCUCAGUAUCCCUUGGACAAUCAAUCUCGCUGGCCCCCUGAGGGAACUUUCAAUUUUGGCCUCCUCACCGACUUGACUAAUUAUUGCCACCGGAGCAGAGAGUGGAGUGAAAUCCCAUAUGUGCAGGCUUUUUGGACUUUGCGCUCCCACCCAGACCUUUAUGUUAAGUGUUCAAUGACUCAGGUUCUCCUGGCCCAAUCUCCAGUUAAGGAUUGUCAGCCUCUUACUCUGCCCAGUCCUUCUUCCUUUUCAGAUCUUCUGGAGGACCUUGGUCUCCCACCUCUCUCAGCUCGCUACCCCCACACCUCUCCACCACCAUCUUUCUUUAAGUUCUUUGUCCUCUCCUGUGUCGCUGCCAUCUUAAAGUCCUACAUUCUCAACCAUACCGUCUUCCUGCUCCUCUCCUCUUCCGGUGGCUGCACCAACCCCCCCACCUUCCGCCUUCACCGCCCUCUUCCCCCACUGGAACAUGCUCCUCCCGUCCUCCAGUUCUGGAAGCCAUAGACAAGACUCCUCGCAGCACAGACCUGCCUCCUUUCUCUCCUGAUCCUACACCCCUCCCCACACCCACCAUUUUGUAAGUGGUCUGGCGUAGUUGUUGUGAGUGGGUGAGCUAGGCGUAGCAAGUGAACAUCUUAGUGAUUGUCUAUUGCAGUGUGUGUGCCUGCCUGCAGCCUGAAAAUUUUUGUAGUGACCUAGAAUCUUAAAGUUUUGCUAAGUUAAGUAGACAUAUUUUGUGCUUAGAGAUUAUGCUGUGAAGCACAUGGUGUCAGGAAUUAUAAAGUAUGUUCAUGAAUUUGUUAAUCUAAAGAAUGCUAGUGCAAUGGUUUACAAUAGCCCACUUCUCAGUGUUCACUGAAAAUUAAAGUUCCUAAUAGUUUUGAGGUCUAAUUAAAGCUGUUUAAGAAGAAAACAUCUCUACUUGCUAAAAGGAUAUGUGUUUUAAUAAGAGAAAGUAUAAAGAAUGGAAAUUCGUUUUGUUGAGGGUAAAAGAAAGUAAUUGUUCUAAAGUACAGCUAUUUAUUUUAAAAAGAAGAACACUGAAUGUAAAAACAAAGUUUUCUUUACUGUUAGUCUGCUCUUAAUAGUGAAAGAUUGCAAAGGGUUCUCUAAUUGUUUUAUCAAAACAGUUUCUCAUGCUUAAAGUCUCAAUGAGUUGUCUGACUAUUUAAGAUAAUGAGAUCUUAAUAUGAAAAAACUAAAAGCUAAGCUUUGCUAAUAACUGUGUAACCUUCUGUAUUUGCCUUUAAAAUCUUUUAUUGUCAUUCUAGUUAAAUAGAUAAGUAUUGUUUCAUAGUAACUUAUGAUUCUAUUUAAACAAAUGCCUUAAAAAAACUUUAACAGCUUCCCAAAAUCAAAUUUAAAAAGGUGCUUUUACCUCUAGUUAACUCUGAUAUUUUCCAGAGGGCCCCUGGAACAUGUCAGAAGAAUUUUUUUUCAUUAGAGAAAGUAUUUGGCCAAUUUGGGUUUUUUUCUGAUUAGAGAAAGUAUUUAGCCAAUUUAGCUUAUUUAUCUGAUAUAAACUUACCUGCUAAAUUGCCUAGAAGGCACUGUCAAGGGGAAUGAUGCUAAACUUUGUUACUGAAUGUUUUGUGUUAGAAAAAUAUCCAAAUUUCCUUAUGUCAACUGUCUUACAGUAAGCUCUCAUCAGGUCUUUAAUCAUUGUCAUUUGUAAGUCUUUUGUCAUUUAUAGUCACUGUUUUAUUACUCCUAAACUAGUAAAGAACUAGAUUUCACCAGAACAAGUAUUAGUUACAUAAGACGUAAGUUAAAAAGGCAGAAGAGGAACCCCAAACUCCACUCCAUGACCUGGUAACCAUGGCCUUUAAAGUAUUUAAUACCCAUGAUAAAGAACAUGAGAAGAGGACAGUGUCCCAAACCUGAGCCCUCGCAGCGGCCCUGUGGCCAGCAGAAUAGGGGUCUCAUCACACCAAAGACUGGUCCGGAGCUCGUGAGCCUCCAGGACCCUGCUUCCAGUGUGGUCAAGAAGACCACUGGGCAAAGAGAUGCCCCAACCCGACCAACACGCCGACUAAACCCUGCCCAGUUUGCGGUAAGAGAUGUCAUUGGAAAGUAGAGUGCCCAGUUGGAGAAGGUCAUCCUCCCGCGACUGAGUCUCAUGAGAGGCAGGCUCCCCUAAGGGACUCCCCUCUGGACCUGCUGAGCCUACUCAAAGACUGAAGAUGCCUAGACUCGAACACCCCUAUCACCCUUGUCAAGCCCAGGGCCACGCUGUGGGUAGCGGGUAAGUCCAUCUCCUUUUUAGUAGACACGGAGGCUGCCUACUCUGUUUUGCCUUCCUUUCACAGGCGUUUACAUCCUUCCCAGGUCUCGGUUGUGAGUGUCACGGGAACCCCCUCUAAGCCUCUAGAGACAGGUCCAGUAGCCUACACGUUUGAGAGCCAUCUUCUUACCCACUCAUUUCUAGUCAUCCCAUCCUGUCCCUUCCCUUUGUUAGGGAGAGAUCGCCUCUCCAAGCUUGGUGCCUCUAUCUCCCUGCCUCUUAAUCAUCUCAAACCGAGCUCACUCAUCAUCUUAGCCAGUAUAAGUUGUAGCCCUGAGCCCUCCACAGACCCUCCUGUACCGCCGACCGGCGCUAACCUGAUAGUCUGAGAAACCUCUACUCCUGUAGUAUCAAGCCAUCAUGCUUCAGUCCUCAUCCACCUCAAAGACCCAUCCUCCUCUCCUUCUAGACCCCAAUUUCCUAUUUCCCAAGCCCAUCGCAAGGGCAUCCUACCUAUCAUUAUCCAUCUUCUUUCCCAAAGGCUUCUGGUACCAACUAAUUCUCCCUGUAACACUCCAAUUCUUCCAGUCAAGAAGCCAUCGGGAGCCUACCAGCUUGUUCAAGACCUGUAGAUAAUCAACGAAGCUGUAGUCCCUCUUCACCCGGUCGUCCCUAACCCUUAUACUCCCUUAUCUCAAGCUCCCCCGGACACCUCUCCUACCUACCUUACUUCUCACUCCUAAGAAAGAUACCCCCUUGUCCCGCCCAAUGCUCAUCUUUCCAUUCUUUCGUCCAGGCUGCCUGCUAUGAACAAGCCUCAGUCUGUCUCUCAUUGUCCGGACUACAGUACUAGAUGGGGCAAAGCCUGAGUGAUCAUGCUAGAUAUAUCUGUCCUGAGAGACGAAGACAACAUAUCUGCUAGAAGCUCUGGCCACCGAUAGAGAGGUCGGACAGUAGAAGUUAACAAGACCAUCACCCUUUUUCUACCACCUUCUCUACCUUAUCCUCAUGGUUGCAGCAGGAGCCAUCCUAUAUGUACCUUUCCCGAGAAUUUGGGAUUGAGCUGGAGGUGGAGAGAUGAAAUAUCCUGGCUGUGGUCAAGCACUACAUUUGUUUGUUCCUAAGGCCCACCUACAUUAUCCCUGGAUUUUGUGAGACAUCACCAUCUUUAUAAUAAAUUCCUCUUUUUCUUAACCUUAUUCAAAUUGGGUUUCUAUUCUUACACAAAAGAGUCUUAAACAUGUAUAGAACAGGAUAAACUUUAUGCUGGACAUAGGCCGUAGAGAGAGUAGAGGUAACAGAGGCCAAGGCCCUGAAAGCAGAAGAUAGUAGAUAUCAUAGAAUAGUGGUUGAAAAGGUGUGCUUUGGAGCCAAGAUUUGGGUUCCAGUACCAGUUCUACUCUUUAUUAGUUAUUAGCUUUAACAAGUUACUUAGCCUCUUGAUCCCUUACUGUAUCUAUGAAAUAGGGACUCACUAAUUUAUUCAACAGAUUUAUUUGGUACCAGGAAUAAAGCGGGGCACCAGGAGAACACAGUUUUCAAGACAGUCAAGCUUAGAAGGGAGAUGGCAAUGAUACCUCAGAAGCUUGUGAAGAUUAAAUGAUGUAGUAAAAUGCUUAUCAUCAUAACUGGCACAGGCUGUUUGCUUAAACAUGCAUGAUUCUUCUACAAAAAUUAAUAAACAAGUGAUCUGACCUCAUUUGACAGUUUCCCAAGUCACUGCAGUAUGCAGUUCUCAAAAAUGCUGCCCUAGAUGCCCCAAAUGAUAGCAACAGAAUCUUUGCAAUGGUGAGUGUGAGCCUCAGGUAAGCAAUAUAAGACGUAUUUUUUGAAAAAGGGUACUGAAUGUUGCAAAGUAGACUGUGCAAAAUUAUAUAUAUAUAUAUAUAUAUAUAUAUAUAUAUACCCAUUAAGUUUUCCUCAUUACCUGGCAAGCUCAUGGGGUAAAGUUUUAGCGCAAUAAGGAGGAAAAUCUGUUAACAGAAAUGUUGGGUGAUAAUUUGGAAUGUUUACCAGUAGACAGAACUCAUUAUUAGGUAAAUGUGUACCAGAAACAACCUUGAAAUCUUCAGAGAGGAAAGUAGGCAUUUUUACCAUGUAUAUGUAGUAGUUGAUAAACCCCAUUUAAGAAUUCUAUUUGGGUUUCACAGACUGAGCAUUAGAUAACUCUGUGACCAGCCUUUUAAGAUUAUUACAGUUAACCUUUUUGAAAACCAAAGUGUAUAUUUUGACAUUGCCUCCCCUCCUCCAAAGACUGGAUAAAACCCAGUAAAGUGCAAUUUGACAGUGAUGUCUCUCAGAAUCUAAAGAGGCUGCCAAAAUCAUCUAAGUUCUAAAAUCAUCUAAGAUGCUAUAGGUAUUAACAAGAAAUUAUAAUGGCUAAAAAAAAUGGUAAUCGAAAAACAAAGUUGAGGGCAACUUAAAUAGUAUCCUUCGAGGGUCUACUAUCUCACUGCAGGACAGUGUAUACCCCACAUCGCUCAGAACCCUGUAAAGCCAGUGUUUCAUGUAUAAGUCUCAAAACCUGCAAAACCUGUGUCAAGUAAAUUUCACUUCAGAAGAAUGGACAGGGGUGUAACUUGAAUGCUCUUAGUUAGGAAUACAAAGAUUCCCCCAAAAUGAGAUUCAUGUCAGUUGCAGUAUACCCCUUGCAAAAGAAUGCAAGCCAAACCAAUGCCUCUCAGAUGCUCAAAAACAAUGUAUUGUGCACAUGAGAAACAAGGAGAUAGCUGCUUUGAAUUACUAUCGAAAUCCCAAAGCAGCUACAGUACCUGCAGAAUCAAGGAACUGUUACAGUUCUGUUUUUUUCCUUUCUUUCCGCCUCAGCUAAAACAAGGCUUCACUCCUACUGCUGUGACGGGAAGAAAAUCAUAUUAAAAAUGGCUUAUGGUCUACAUUGGUUGACAAAGUUACUCUAAUUUUAUACACCAAAAUGCUUCCUGCAGCAAGUUACCCUGCCUUCUGUGAAUGGUGGAAUUGUGGAUGGAUUCUGCAUUGAGGAAGCUGGAAACACCUGAAAAUUCAUCCCUGGCUGGAAUGGUCCCCCAGAUUGGGUAGGAAUUACUAUAGACUGUUGU
Manis pentadactyla (Chinese pangolin) is the source of this 8006-nucleotide long non-coding RNA. RefSeq lists it as uncharacterized. The record is from RefSeq and is a predicted model, not a curated record. NCBI's taxonomy places the organism in Eukaryota, Metazoa, Chordata, Mammalia, Pholidota, Manidae. The transcript has 5 exons.